This is a transfer RNA of Folsomia candida, 73 nucleotides long. It matches the Rfam family "tRNA". From Rfam's summary of the family: Transfer RNA (tRNA) molecules are approximately 80 nucleotides in length. The record is from Rfam. NCBI's taxonomy places the organism in Eukaryota, Metazoa, Arthropoda, Collembola, Entomobryomorpha, Isotomidae.
GGCCUGUUAGCUCAAUCGGCAGAGCGUGGUGCUAAUAACGCCAAGGUCCUGGGUUCGAUCCCCAGACGGGCCA